This 501-nucleotide ribosomal RNA is filed under the name uncultured bacterium. RNAcentral's name for it is "partial 16S ribosomal RNA". It matches the Rfam family "Bacterial small subunit ribosomal RNA", at positions 29 to 523 of the family's 1533-position model. The record is from RNAcentral.
AUUGAACGCUGGCGGCAUGCCUUACACAUGCAAGUCGAACGGCAGCACGGGUGCUUGCACCUGGUGGCGAGUGGCGAACGGGUGAGUAAUACAUCGGAACGUACCUUAUCGUGGGGGAUAACGCAGCGAAAGCUGUGCUAAUACCGCAUACGCCCUGAGGGGGAAAGCGGGGGAUCGCAAGACCUCGCGCGAUUAGAGCGGCCGAUGCCUGAUUAGCUUGUUGGUGGGGUAAAAGCCCACCAAGGCGACGAUCAGUAGCUGGUCUGAGAGGACGAUCAGCCACACUGGGACUGAGACACGGCCCAGACUCCUACGGGAGGCAGCAGUGGGGAAUUGUGGACAAUGGGGGCAACCCUGAUCCAGCAAUGCCGCGUGAGUGAAGAAGGCCUUCGGGUUGUAAAGCUCUUUUGUCAGGGAAGAGACACCGGCUCUAACACAGUCUGGGAAUGACGGUACCUGAAGAAUAAGCACCGGCUAACUACGUGCCAGCAGCCGCAGUAA